AAAAAGUUAAUUUGGAUAAGUUAGCUCAAAGAUAUUAAAGUUUAAAGAAGUUGCCUUAUUCAAGAUUUGUUAAUUAGUUAGGUGGUUGGUACCACACGUGAGUGGCCACAACUACAAUUGCUUUUCCAUUAUAUUCUAUCUUAUCUUAUUAGAAUAAUUAGUUAAUUCAAACUCCAAUUGGUGGUACACGUUUUCCAUUAUAACUCAACCACUUUUUAUUACUAUAAAUAUUAUACAUGGGUUUCAUAUUUCACCAUACCAAAAAAUUUACACACACGUGAAAGAGAAGAGAGAGAGAGGAUAUUUUUGGGAGUUAGAAGACAAAAAGCUAAUUUGCAACCAUUAUGCACUAAAAAUAGAGAAAAGAUUUUGGGCACGUGCUUUCAUAUUUUCAUUUUAUUAAACGAGGUAAGUACAUUUGUAUAAGUGUUUUCAUUUCCUUAUACUCUUAUAUUCAAUUAAAUAUGUAUGGAUUGCCAGUAGACUUUCGGGUUCUUUAAAAAGAGAGAUGAAAUC
Molecule: long non-coding RNA, 516 nt
Filed under: Olea europaea (common olive)
Lineage: Eukaryota; Viridiplantae; Streptophyta; Magnoliopsida; Lamiales; Oleaceae
Description: long non-coding RNA (OEUR_LNC010085)
Source: RNAcentral